This 280-nucleotide ribosomal RNA is filed under the name Fusicatenibacter saccharivorans. RNAcentral's name for it is "partial 16S ribosomal RNA". It matches the Rfam family "Bacterial small subunit ribosomal RNA", at positions 493 to 776 of the family's 1533-position model. The record is from RNAcentral. Lineage: Bacteria; Bacillati; Bacillota; Clostridia; Lachnospirales; Lachnospiraceae.
UAUGGUAAUUGUGUGCCGCCGCGGUAAUACGUAGGGGGCAAGCGUUAUCCGGAUUUACUGGGUGUAAAGGGAGCGUAGACGGCAAGGCAAGUCUGAUGUGAAAACCCAGGGCUUAACCCUGGGACUGCAUUGGAAACUGUCUGGCUCGAGUGCCGGAGAGGUAAGCGGAAUUCCUAGUGUAGCGGUGAAAUGCGUAGAUAUUAGGAAGAACACCAGUGGCGAAGGCGGCUUACUGGACGGUAACUGACGUUGAGGCUCGAAAGCGUGGGGAGCAAACAGG